CGGCCUUCGGGUUGUAAACCUCUUUUAGUAGGGAAGAAGCGUAACAGUGACGGUACCUGCAGAAAAAGCACCGGCUAACUACGUGCCAGCAGCCGCGGUAAUACGUAGGGUGCAAGCGUUGUCCGGAAUUAUUGGGCGUAAAGAGCUCGUAGGCGGUUUGUCGCGUCUGCUGUGAAAACCCGAGGCUCAACCUCGGGCCUGCAGUGGGUACGGGCAGACUAGAGUGCGGUAGGGGAGAUUGGAAUUCCUGGUGUAGUGGUGGAAUGCGCAGAUAUCAGGAGGAACACCAAUGGCGAAGGCAGAUCUCUGGGCCGUAACUGACGCUGAGGAGCGAAAGCAUGGGGAGCGAACAGGAUUAGAUACCCUGGUAGUCCAUGCCGUAAACGUUGGGAACUAGAUGUGGGGACCAUUCCACGGUCUCCGUGUCGCAGCUAACGCAUUAAGUUCCCCGCCAGGGGAGUACGGCCGCAAGGCUAAAACUCAAAGGAAUUGACGGAAUCGAAUU
Molecule: ribosomal RNA, 505 nt
Filed under: uncultured bacterium
Lineage: Bacteria
Description: bacterial SSU rRNA
Rfam family: Bacterial small subunit ribosomal RNA
Source: RNAcentral